CAGCAGCCGCGGGAAUACGAAGGGGGCUAGCGUUACUCGGAAUUACUGGGCGUAAAGGGCACGUAGGCGGCAUGAUUAGUCAGGCGUGAAAUUCCUGGGCUUAACUUGGGAACUGCGUUUGAUACUGUCAAGCUAGAGGAUUGUAGAGGGUUGUAGAAUUCCCGGUGUAGAGGUGAAAUUCGUAGAUAUUGGGAGGAACACCGGUGGCGAAGGCGGCAACCUGGACAAUUACUGACGCUCAGGUGCGACAGCGUGGGGAGCAAACAGGAUUAGAUACCCCAGUAGUCCCUGUCUCUUAUAA
RNAcentral lists this ribosomal RNA (301 nucleotides) under uncultured bacterium. Its description in RNAcentral is "partial 16S ribosomal RNA". It matches the Rfam family "Bacterial small subunit ribosomal RNA", at positions 509 to 809 of the family's 1533-position model. The record is from RNAcentral.